GCCCGAAUGGCUCAGUGGUAAAGCGUCUCACUAGUACCUUGUUUCCCUUCCAGGUCUCACGAUCUUUGGUUAAUGUGUGAACGCAAUGAGAAGAUCGGCGGUUCGAUUCCGCCUUUGGGCA
This is a non-coding RNA of Colletotrichum acutatum, 121 nucleotides long. The record is from the annotation of a RefSeq genome assembly. Lineage: Eukaryota; Fungi; Ascomycota; Sordariomycetes; Glomerellales; Glomerellaceae.